Molecule: ribosomal RNA, 220 nt
Filed under: uncultured bacterium
Lineage: Bacteria
Description: partial 16S ribosomal RNA
Rfam family: Bacterial small subunit ribosomal RNA
Source: RNAcentral
UGAGCAAUCUGCCCUUCUCAUCGGAAUAAGCGUUGGAAACGACGUCUAAUGCCGAAUACGACCUCCUUUCGCAUGAUCGGAGGUGGAAAGCUCCGGCGGAGAAGGAUGAGCUCGCGGCCUAUCAGCUAGUUGGUGAGGUAACGGCUCACCAAGGCAACGGACGGGUAGCUGGUCUGAGAGGAUGGCCAGCCACAUUGGGACUGAGACACGGCCCAGAUCC